This 29-nucleotide small RNA is filed under the name Bombyx mori (domestic silkworm). Its description in RNAcentral is "ovarian small RNA-34733". Lineage: Eukaryota; Metazoa; Arthropoda; Insecta; Lepidoptera; Bombycidae. The record is from RNAcentral.
UGGCACAGGAGAACGGGCCGUCCCUCGGC